UGGCGGCGUGCCUAAUACAUGCAAGUCGAACGAACUCUGGUAUUGAUUGGUGCUUGCAUCAUGAUUUACAUUUGAGUGAGUGGCGAACUGGUGAGUAACACGUGGGAAACCUGCCCAGAAGCGGGGGAUAACACCUGGAAACAGAUGCUAAUACCGCAUAACAACUUGGACCGCAUGGUCCGAGCUUGAAAGAUGGCUUCGGCUAUCACUUUUGGAUGGUCCCGCGGCGUAUUACCUAGAUGGUGGGGUAACGGCUCACCAUGGCAAUGAUACGUACCCGACCUGAGAGGGUAAUCGGCCACAUUGGGACUGAGACACGGCCCAAACUCCUACGGGAGGCAGCAGUAGGGAAUCUUCCACAAUGGACGAAAGUCUGAUGGAGCAACGCCGCGUGAGUGAAGAAGGGUUUCGGCUCGUAAAACUCUGUUGUUAAAGAAGAACAUAUCUGAGAGUAACUGUUCAGGUAUUGACGGUAUUUAACCAGAAAGCCACGGCUAACUACGUGCCAGCAGCCGCGGUAAUACGUAGGUGGCAAGCGUUGUCCGGAUUUAUUGGGCGUAAAGCGAGCGCAGGCGGUUUUUAAGUCUGAUGUGAAAGCCUUCGCUCACCGAAGAGUGCAUCGGAAACUGGGAAACUUGAUGCAGAAGAGGACAGUGGA
Molecule: ribosomal RNA, 658 nt
Filed under: Lactiplantibacillus plantarum
Lineage: Bacteria; Bacillati; Bacillota; Bacilli; Lactobacillales; Lactobacillaceae
Description: bacterial SSU rRNA
Rfam family: Bacterial small subunit ribosomal RNA
Source: RNAcentral